UACGAAGGGGGCUAGCGUUGCUCGGAAUCACUGGGCGUAAAGCGCACGUAGGCGGCUUUGCAAGUCGGAUGUGAAAUCCCUCGGCUCAACCAAGGAAGUGCAUCCGAAACUGCAGAGCUUGAGUACUUAAGAGGAUCGCGGAAUUCCCGGUGUAGAGGUGAAAUUCGUAGAUAUCGGGAGGAACACCAGUGGCGAAGGCGGCGAUCUGGGAAGAUACUGACGCUGAGGUGCGAAAGCGGUGGGGAGCAAACAGG
Molecule: ribosomal RNA, 254 nt
Filed under: uncultured bacterium
Lineage: Bacteria
Description: partial 16S ribosomal RNA
Rfam family: Bacterial small subunit ribosomal RNA
Source: RNAcentral